GGAUUGUGGCUCAGCGGUGGAAUGCUCACCUAGCAUGUGUGAGGCCCUAGGUUCGAUCCUCAGCACCA
RNAcentral lists this transfer RNA (68 nucleotides) under Marmota monax (woodchuck). RNAcentral's name for it is "tRNA.Ala". The record is from RNAcentral. Lineage: Eukaryota; Metazoa; Chordata; Mammalia; Rodentia; Sciuridae.